GAUGAAGAACGUAGCGAAAUGCGAUAAGUAAUGUGAAUUGCAGAAUUCAGUGAAUCAUCGAAUCUUUGAACGCACAUUGCGCCCGCCAGUAUUCUGGCGGGCAUGCCUGUUCGAGCGUCAUUUCAACCAUCAAGCCACAGGCUUGUGUUGGGGACCUGCGGCUGCCGCAGGCCCUGAAAACCAGUGGCGGGCUCGCUGUCACACCGGGCGUAGUAGAUUUUAUCUCGCUCAGGGCGUGCUGCGGGUUCCGGCCGUUAAAAAGCCUUUUUUACCCAAGGUUGACCUCGGAUCAGGUAGGAAGACCCGCUGAACUUAAGCAUAUCAAUAAGCGGAGGA
RNAcentral lists this unclassified non-coding RNA (336 nucleotides) under soil metagenome. Its description in RNAcentral is "partial contains 5.8S ribosomal RNA, internal transcribed spacer 2, and large subunit ribosomal RNA". The stretch from base 1 to 120 matches the Rfam family "5.8S ribosomal RNA", at positions 35 to 154 of the family's 154-position model. The record is from RNAcentral.